This 253-nucleotide ribosomal RNA is filed under the name uncultured bacterium. RNAcentral describes it as "partial 16S ribosomal RNA". It matches the Rfam family "Bacterial small subunit ribosomal RNA", at positions 524 to 776 of the family's 1533-position model. The record is from RNAcentral.
UACAGAGGGUGCAAGCGUUGUUCGGAAUCACUGGGCUUAAAGGGCGCGUAGGCGGGCUCACAAGUCAGGGGUGAAAUCCCACGGCUCAACCGUGGAAGUGCCUUUGAUACUGUGGGGCUUGAGGGAGGUAGGGGCGUGCGGAACUUCCGGUGGAGCGGUGAAAUGCGUAGAUAUCGGAAGGAACACCAGUGGCGAAAGCGGCUUCCUGGUCCAGCACCGACGUUCAGGCACGAAAGCGUGGGGAGCAAACAGG